AGAAUUCAGAAGCAAAAGGUAAGGAAACACGCCGCAUAAGCACUAGGAUGUGUAUUGUAAUUUGUCAAUUUCAUAUGGUAGUAAUAGCACGGGAUAGCCACUUUUCAGCUCAUUUAAUUGCAAAAAGACCACUGUCAUGGAGUUUCAAAUUCAACAGGUGAAACUACACGACAGUUUGGACUCUAUGACAGUGACUAUUUUUCAAUUACCGGCGCUGAAAUGUAGCUAUUUGUGAAUCUUAUCUUUUCAUAUGCAAAACAAAUAACACAAAGAAGUCAACUAGAGGAAUCCCCAGGAAUUCUCACUCAAAGCACCUCCACAGCAAAAUUCCAUGGAUAGCUAUCCAGAAUCCAUGGCGAAGCUUCCUUACAAAUGUGAUUUGAAGGAGAGUAAAACCAAGUAAUUGUCACGUAAUUUGGCGCAAACCUGAAAAGAAGCUUCUUGCAAUUGUUAUUUUAAGCAACACUUCUUUUCUUUUUGGGCUGCUUUCUCUUGAUGCUGCUGUAUUUCAACAACAAAGUAUGCAUUGCCAGUGGGCUUCUUUUAAAAAGCUGUUAUCUAUAUGAGUUUCAAACAAUACAAUUAUUACAGCUCUAGUUGCGCUAAAGUAAGCUUUGCAUGCCCACAGGACAGUGAGUCAGUGAGAGAAGAUACAGCAUUACAGCUCUAGUUGCGCUAACGUAAGCUUCGCAUGCCCACAGGACAGUGAGUCAGUGAGAGAAGACCUUCUUCCACUUCUCUGCCUAGCAAUGCAGAGGAGAAGCUCUAAAUUAAUUAGGAAUUAGUAAUACUAUCAUAUGGCAGAAAGUGGUUGAGGUUUCAGUCAACAGGAAAAAAGGAGAAUUGAAUAUGCUGUAGUGACUGAGAUAUGCAUUCAUACAAUCAAUAAUUCAGGGCGAGGAAGCUAAGAAAUUUCUGCUAUUUCCUUCAACAUUUACAACAAGCAUCUCGGCGCAAGGAAAUGGAAUGUUCUCUGUUCUUAGUUUUCAUUGAUUUCUACGACAGUAACACAGAAAAAGAAUUGGUCUAAUAUGAAUAUCUUCUUAGCACCUAUUUCUAAUGCAUAAACACCCUGAGCAUCUCAUUCAUAACAGGUAGCAUGUAGUUCUCUGGACACUUUGGUUCAGACCAUGACAGGAUAGUGUAUUAAAGACCUAGCUUACAUAAAAACCAAUGUUCUAGUAAAUCAGGUCAAUAUCUGACAGUUAUCACAAUGAUAUAAUUGAAAUUAGGUUCCAUUACUACAAUAUAACAAACAUAAGACGUGUUAACUAAGAGAAGCCAUUGUUACCAAUAGUCCAAUACCAAUAGAGGCGCUUCACAGGAUUAAGAGAACAGAAGGCGUAGGCAGCUGCAUAACAUAGUACAACGACUGAAUAAUGUGAAGUAAUCUCCAAUUAGGAACAAACUGGAUAUCAUACGGAUGAUGAGUCCGUUUAGAUGAUGGUUAAGUUACACUAACAUAUUUGGACACAUAAGCUGAUUUUAUGAGGUAUACUUCAGGCGAAACAUCAGGUUCUCUUUUACUUUUGACAUCUAUGGACUAUCUCAUUCUCCCAGAAGUGUGCAUUACUUAUAGCUUGUUGGCCAAGCUUCUAGAAAUCCAAAAGUACUUUUUUUAAUUAAGAAAAGUGCAUAUUUUAGAGAGUUGAGGUGUUUCAGGAAAAAAAAUAAUAACUUUUGCGUAGUAGCAGAAGCUACUUUUUAGAAACUGAAAAGAAUAUCCUUUCCCCGGAAGCACUUUAGGAAACUUGGCCAAGUCCAAAUUGUUGUGCAAUAUUGGCAAAAUU
RNAcentral lists this long non-coding RNA (1790 nucleotides) under Nicotiana benthamiana. Its description in RNAcentral is "long non-coding RNA (NBEN_LNC019420)". The record is from RNAcentral. Lineage: Eukaryota; Viridiplantae; Streptophyta; Magnoliopsida; Solanales; Solanaceae.